AUUGAACGCUGGCGGCAGGCCUAACACAUGCAAGUCGAGCGAGCGGCGGACGGGUGAGUAAUGCCUGGGAAUUGCCCAGUCGGGGGGGAUAACAGUUGGAAACGACUGCUAAUCCCGCAUACGAUUGGAUUGCCCAGGUGGGAUUAGAUAGUUGGUGAGGUAAUGCCUCACCAAGGCGACGAUCCCUAGCUGGCCUGAGAGGAUGGAGAGCCACACGGGAAAUGAGAACCGGUCCAGAUUCCUACGGGAGGAAGCAGUGGGGAAUAUUGCACAAUGGGGGAAACCCGGAUGCAGCCAUGCCGCGUGUGUGAAGAAGGCCUUCGGGUUUUAAAGCACUUUCAGCGAGGAGGCGUUACUCGCAGAAGAAGCACCGGCUAACUCCGUGCCAGCAGCCGCGGUAAUUC
Molecule: ribosomal RNA, 404 nt
Filed under: uncultured bacterium
Lineage: Bacteria
Description: partial 16S ribosomal RNA
Rfam family: Bacterial small subunit ribosomal RNA
Source: RNAcentral